CGGCAGGCCUAACACAUGCAAGUCGAGCCGCCCCCGCAAGGGGAGCGGCGGACGGGUGAGUAACGCGUGGGAACGUACCCUUUGCUACGGAAUAGCCUCGGGAAACUGGGAGUAAUACCGUAUGUGCCCUUCGGGGGAAAGAUUUAUCGGCAAAGGAUCGGCCCGCGUUGGAUUAGGUAGUUGGUGGGGUAAUGGCCUACCAAGCCGACGAUCCAUAGCUGGUUUGAGAGGAUGAUCAGCCACACUGGGACUGAGACACGGCCCAGACUCCUACGGGAGGUAGCAGUGGGGAAUCUUAGACAAUGGGCGCAAGCCUGAUCUAGCCAUGCCGCGUGAGCGAUGAAGGCCUUAGGGCUGUAAAGCUCUUCAGUGGGGAAGAUAAUGACUGUACCCACAGAAGAAGCCCCGGCUAACUCCGUG
This 420-nucleotide ribosomal RNA is filed under the name uncultured bacterium. RNAcentral's name for it is "bacterial SSU rRNA". It matches the Rfam family "Bacterial small subunit ribosomal RNA", at positions 40 to 507 of the family's 1533-position model. The record is from RNAcentral.